RNAcentral lists this ribosomal RNA (394 nucleotides) under uncultured bacterium. Its description in RNAcentral is "bacterial SSU rRNA". It matches the Rfam family "Bacterial small subunit ribosomal RNA", at positions 505 to 898 of the family's 1533-position model. The record is from RNAcentral.
GUGUCAGCCGCCGCGGUAAGACGAACCGUGCGAACGUUGUUCGGAUUCACUGGGCUUAAAGGGCGCGUAGGCGGGACCGUCAGUCAGGGGUGAAAUCCUCCGGCUCAACCGGAGAAGGGCUUCUGAUACUGCGGGCCUGGAGGGAGGUAGGGGCAGAUGGAACUUCCGGUGGAGCGGUGAAAUGCGUAGAUAUCGGAAGGAACGCCGGUGGCGAAAGCGAUCUGCUGGACCUCUUCUGACGCUGAGGCGCGAAAGCCAGGGGAGCAAACGGGAUUAGAUACCCCGGUAGUCCUGGCCCUAAACGAUGAGGACUAGGUCGUGGACUUGACAUGGGUUCACAGCCGAAGCCAAAGUGCUAAGUCCUCCGCCUGGGGAGUAUGGUCGCAAGGCUGAA